Long non-coding RNA from Pseudophryne corroboree (corroboree frog), 1576 nucleotides. RefSeq lists it as uncharacterized. The transcript has 3 exons. The record is from RefSeq and is a predicted model, not a curated record. Lineage: Eukaryota; Metazoa; Chordata; Amphibia; Anura; Myobatrachidae.
CAGCCUAACCCUCCCACCUACAGCCUAACCCUUCCGCCCACAGCCUAACCCUCGCACCCGCAGCCUAACCCUAACUCUCCCACCCACAGCCUAACCCUUGCACCCACAGCCUAAAAAAGCAUUACCCGAACCCUCACAUCCACAGCCUAAUGCUAACCUUCAUGCCUGCAGCCUAAUCCUAACCUCCCCUGCCCACAGCUAAACCCUCAAACCCUCAGCCUAACCCUAACUCUCCAACCCAAAGGCCUGAGCCUCACACCCACAACCUAACCACUGUGUCCACAGCCUAACCCUCCCUCCCACAGCCUAACCCAACCCUCGCAUACAGAGCUAAUCCUAACUAUCCUGUAUGCUGCCUAACCCUCAUGCCAGCAGCCUAACACUAACCCUCCAGCCCACAGCUUAGCCCUCACCCAUAGCCUAACCCUAACUCUCCCGUCUGCAGCCUAACCCUCAUGCGCACGACCAGUCCCAAACCAUCGCAGCCAUAGCCUAACCCUCCCGUCUGCAGCCUAACAUUAACCCUUGUGCCCGCAGUUUAACCCUUGCACCCCCAAACUAACUCGAACAUUCCCACCUGCAGCCUAACCCUUGUGUCUGCAGCCUAACCAUAACCCUCAUGCCUGCAGCCUAACCCUCGCAGCCGCAGCCUUACCCUAACCCUCCCACCUGUAGCCUAACCCAUGUGCCUGCAAUGUAACUUUAAUCCUCCUGCCCACAGCCUAACCCUAAUGUUGAGAAUGCUGAAAAUGUCGGCAUGUUGCCUGUCAUUACGGUACCUGUGGACAUUCUCAUUGUUGACCUUUUGACUACAUCCUGCUAGAAUAGCAUUUAUGGGAGUGGCUGGAGUACGAAGAGCCACCAUGAGAUAUAAUAACCCCAGAAGUGGUUCAGACGCUCCAUGUACAGGACACAGAUGCCCCACAAGAGCAGGGUAAAUCGGGGGAGAUGAAUGAAAAUGUAACAACCUUAGCACAACAAAAUAUUGGUCGCCUCACUGAGGCAUCAAGUUGGGCCAGUAGUAGUGGCCACCCUUCACCUGCACCAACGCCACCCAGGUAUGGGACCCAGGCUAGAGGUGGUGGUACUGGUCCUUGUCGCUCCUCAUCGUUCCCUAGCUGCUCACCUAAAAGAAGACAUUGACAACAUUUUCUGUAAUUAACCUAUUACAAUGACAUUAUUAUGCUUGCUCUAAAAAACUUUUAACAUUAAUUUGUGUGCUUAAACAAAAGCAGUUAAUAUUUUCUAGUUUUGUGAGUUUAUUAAAAAUAAUUAAAAAAAUUGUUGUGGUGUCCCAAAACAAUGUUAAAACAAUGCUGCAUAUAAAACAUUGUUUGGAAAAUUGUGUUGUUUGAAGCAUUUAAGGCUAUGUUGGCCUGAUUAUUGCAUAUUUCAUCAUUAAUAUUGUAAGUAUUUGUAUGUGUACUUUAAACUUACAGUAUUUUUACGCUGACAAAAGCAUUCUUGGCUGAUUUGUUCAGCUGGACAAAUUCCUAUGUUUUAUUGUUAUUUUUAUGGGUAGUACCAACCAAAAUUAUUUGUAUUUAUGUCUAAGAGCAAAUUGUGCCAUAAUUUA